UACGCGAGUUUCAUAACUAGGUAAGGUCUACUUGGUGCCUACCGAUAUUUACUUUAUUAGAAUGUUUAAACAUAGUUUUUAUUCAAUUCCGAUGAUUAAAUAACAUGAUGAUAAAUGAUAAAUGAAGAUACAGAAGUAGAGCUGUGUGACAAAGAUCGAGGUAGAUGUUGAAGUAAAAGAUCACAAAACAAGGAGUAACAAUGAAAAUCCUUACAUUUGGCUUACUGCUCAUAGUAUCACUAGGAAUUGUUUUAUCAAAACACCAAGGCUCUAUACUGUCAUCUAUUUUGAAACCAUUAGACUUUUCUAUUCAUUUACAUAUUACCUCUGAAGAAAAUCAACCAAAAAAUGACAUCCUUCAUGAAUUAGGAGAUUUCUACAAAGGAAAGAGAACUGGAUCCUUUAGACCCCAUGGUAACAAUGGUGACAAUGAACUAAAGAAUGACGUUCUUCACGAAUUGGGAGACUACUUCAAAGGCAAACGAAGCGAAAAUGAUUAUUUUUAUUAUUUUGAUGAAUAUUAACAGACAGUUUUAUUUAACUGAUCCUGAUAAAAACAAAAUAAUCAAACUUUGAAAUAACAUUAUAUUAUUAUAUGUCUUUAAAAUACUAGUAAAUGAAUUUACAUGUAAGCCAGGAUAUAUUCUCUUCUCUGUUCUAUAGGAACUGUAUGGGAUCUGUGACGAUUGGAUAUUUGAUUCUACAUAUACAAUUUUAUGUACAAAAAGUAAAAUAGCAAAAAUACCGAACUACAAGAAAAAUUCAAAACGGAACGUCAUACAUCAAAUGCCAACAUGGAAGGCUCAAACACAUCAAACGAAU
Molecule: RNA transcript, 822 nt
Organism: Mytilus trossulus (common blue mussel)
Lineage: Eukaryota; Metazoa; Mollusca; Bivalvia; Mytilida; Mytilidae
Exons: 5
Source: RefSeq, a predicted model, not a curated record